Molecule: long non-coding RNA, 229 nt
Organism: Protopterus annectens (West African lungfish)
Lineage: Eukaryota; Metazoa; Chordata; Ceratodontiformes; Protopteridae
Exons: 3
Source: RefSeq, a predicted model, not a curated record
AAGGGGCAAAACAUCUGUCCAAUGCCCUAAAGAGUCCAAACAAUAAGUUACAGAAGCUACACCUGUCAGAGAAUGAAAUUGGAAGUGAAGGGGCAAAACAUCUGUCCGAGGCCCUAAAGAGUCCAAACAAUAACUUACAGCAGCUACACCUGUCAGGGAAUGAAAUUGGAAGUGAAGGGGCAAAACAUCUGUCCGAGGCCCUAAAGAGUCCAAACAAUAACUUACAGCA